GAUCUCAGAUCAAGUAAGAGGACCCGCCGAAUUUAAGCAUAUCAAUAAGCGGAGGA
RNAcentral lists this ribosomal RNA (56 nucleotides) under uncultured freshwater diatom. Its description in RNAcentral is "partial 28S ribosomal RNA". The record is from RNAcentral. Lineage: Eukaryota; Bacillariophyta.